Molecule: long non-coding RNA, 1209 nt
Organism: Hipposideros armiger (great roundleaf bat)
Lineage: Eukaryota; Metazoa; Chordata; Mammalia; Chiroptera; Hipposideridae
Exons: 5
Source: RefSeq, a predicted model, not a curated record
GCAAGACUUAACUAGUUCUCGCUCCCCUCCCACUUCUGUUUUAAGGAUGAAUGCCAUGCCCAUGGCGAUGGUGCUAGAUUUGAACCCAACUUAAUGUUGGUCUUUAAAGACCCAGGAAACUGUCUUUUCCCUUUUCUUUCUCUCCCUCCUCUUUCUCCCUGCUUCCUUUCUAAAAUUAAGCUUCUGCUACUUCUCUAGAAAACAAGUCUCACCUGACACUAAAACCUCACUACAGCUUGGCUUCCUAAGCUUUGGAGCUGAAAGUCAGACUGAAUUGCUUAUGCCUGAAGUUCACUACAUCUGCUCCUGGAUGCUGCCUGCUCACUCAGAUGAAACCUGUGCUGUGCGAAGAGAAGUUUCUGCUCUCACUGCCCACUGCGACCCUGGCUGGCCAAACUGGGGGCUGGAGCUGAUGGUCUUUACCCCCAUGGUGCUUAAAGCAAGUUUGCUCCGAGAGCCCUAAGCCACAGCAGCUCAGCAUCCUCAACACUGUCAUUCUCUUGAAGCCUGCCUUUAAGGAAGCUGAAGCCAGGGCCUUUUCAUAGAUCCGGACUUCAUUUCCCUCUGCAUGACAGAGAAGCAAGCCCGCUGGUCCAUGUUCUUUCUAUGCUCUUGGGGAGUUUUGUCACAGUGAUGAUUUUUUUUUUUUUUUGUAUUUCCUAUCACAAGCACCUAAGGGUCACCCAAGUCCACUCUGGCAGAUUAUAGUAACUUCCAAUUUCAGUGUAAAAGGACUUGAUCUUCUCCAGAAGAUUACAACAACUCUAGGAAGGCAUAUUGAGAUGAGAACAUGGUCAAUACCGUAAGUGUUUUCUAUACCAGGCACGCUGCUGCUAAUUGACUCCUUAAUCAACUGAGAGGCCUCAUCUUCAUUAGCACCCUCUUACAGAUGAAAAGAUGAGGCUCUUGUUAAACAACUUGAAGGAGCACACAUCUAAGACAAACAUAGCAUGUGAGAAACACAGCCUGCGUCUCAAGAGCAAGAAGCAUUAUCGAAGCAGCAGCCUGAACAAGUGGAACCAAUCCUACAAAACUGCAAGGAUAUACUGAAGCUCAAAGACCUGAAGUGAUUCAUCUAAAGUCACAUAGCUACUAAGUGAAGGACCUGGGAUUUGAACGCAGAUCUGCUUGGCUAUCACUCCAUAUUGCCUUUAAAGGAGAUGAUGUCGAGGGGGACCAUGUGAAGACACAGGGAAGAUGACAGACCAU